CAGGAGGUGCUGGCCCGAGGAGGGGACUCUGAAGCCUUCCAACCCCAUGAGGGAAGAUGGCCCAGGUCUUCCCGGAGGCGCGUCUCACACAGGGACAGGAGGCAGGAGGGCUGGCCCCGUGAGAGACGCCAAGGGGUCUCCCCUUGCCCUGACAGAGUCACUGGGCCCUAAACCCAUCACUUCUGAGCCACUGUCUAAGGCCCUAGCUCUUAAAGGUUCCACACCUCUAGCAGUGCCAUCACCACGGACCAAGCCUUCAGUCCAGGAGCCCUGGGGGAUAUCAAGGACCCCAACCGUACCAGCUGGGGACCUGUUAGCCAUAUGAUGAUGAGGCUGAUGACCAGGAGCAGGCCUCAGCCUCAGACCUGCGGACCGGACCUGUAUGCUGCAAUCAGUGACUACGAAGAAGAUGCCCAAGCCCUCUGAUGGUGGGGGCAGAGACAGGAAAAAAAGGAGUAAAUGCCACUGCUCUGGAACCAGCUGUCUAACCAGAUGCUUAGAAAACACCAGGAAGGGGAUGUCACACUGGGGUAGGGGUGUGCAUAAUGGUGGUCAUGCUACUUCCUGCCCCGCCCCCAGCCCCCGUGCUUCCCUUGUACCUACUGGGUCAUUUAUCAGAUUCUCAGCCCAGCCUUCAAGCUGCCCUCGGUCUGGCCCUGAGUCCCCUUCCGUCUUACUUCCCAGUGGUCUGCCUCAAGCACGCUCUCCUCCGAAAGCCUGGCUGGAUCAGGGCCUCUUCUUCCACCUGCCUCUCUUGCCUGGAAUAUCAUCCCUUUUCCUCACGUCAGCGUCAGUCUCAUCUGGCUUUGAAGUCCAGCUCGAAGCUUGGCCCCUCCGGGAAGGGGCUGAACCCUGGGACCUCCUCUCGGUACAUCAAGAACGGCCAUAAGUUCUUCGUAGUCCUCCCACCCAGAGGCAGAGUCUAUCUUCCCACCUUUUAAGUCUGGGCUGGUCUAAGACGUGCUUUGGGACGCCGGGUCAGACGAAAGCGACCCUGCCCACUGCAGCCAAGGCUGUGGGAGGCCGUGCCCCUUUCAGGCAUGCUCUCCGGGGACCCAGUGGUCGGUUCCCUGCAGCCAUGCGGCCUUGGUGACAAGUACCACCAACACUGUGCCAUCGGUGAGGUGAUCAAACGGUCCAAUUAAGUCAGCAAUCUGUCGCCUCAGUGAGACCAGCAGAACCACCUAGCCGUGUCCAGCCCCGAACUGUCAACCCAGAGAACUGUGAGCAAAUAAAUGGUGGUUGUACUGAGCUGCUACAUUUUGGGGUUUGUUACAGAGACCCACGUCCCCCAGGUCUCCCGUUUCCACAGGCAAACCCUGGCUGAAGUAGACGUAUAAAGGCCCAACCACGAUGUCAACCUGCUUAGGACUCAGAGGGGCUGGAGGGGCCUCGGAUCGGUGGGGCUGGCAGGUGCUUCUUUGGCUUCUGUCCCCUGUCUUCCACCGGACCCGUCCCAAGGCCCUCUUUAAAAACAUCCUGCCUGCCGAACUCCACCUGUACCCGCUUCCAGGGAAACCCACCCAGCGCGCAGCUCUAGAUGUGCCUUGGUUUCCCCACUGGCUUUCGGCCUACCCCAGGAAGCGCCCAGUAAAUAGGCGGGACUAAGGGAUGGUGGGUACAUGGGAAGAGAGAGGCGGAAGUGGGUAAACUGUUCACUGGGGGGGCUAGAGCUGUGCUCCCCAGUGUGGUCGCCCCUGGUCGUAUGUCACUAUGUGAAUUUGAAUUUAAAUUAAUUACAACUAAAUAAAAUUUAAAAUUCAGUUUCUUAAGUCACCGAUUGCGAGUAACCACCUGUGGGU
Long non-coding RNA from Chinchilla lanigera (long-tailed chinchilla), 1802 nucleotides. RefSeq lists it as uncharacterized. The record is from RefSeq and is a predicted model, not a curated record. The transcript is spliced from 3 exons. NCBI's taxonomy places the organism in Eukaryota, Metazoa, Chordata, Mammalia, Rodentia, Chinchillidae.